Molecule: transfer RNA, 56 nt
Filed under: Gulo gulo (wolverine)
Lineage: Eukaryota; Metazoa; Chordata; Mammalia; Carnivora; Mustelidae
Description: tRNA-Leu
Source: RNAcentral
GUAGUAAUCCAUUGGUCUUAGGAACCAAAAAAUUGGUGCAACUCCAAAUAAAAGUA